GUGCAGGUUUUUUUUUUUUUCUUUUUUGGCAAUUUUCUAGUUGGUAAUAAACAUUUAAACAGUUAUCCAUUGUAUCUGAUGUUGUAGGGUACUCAAAAAUUAAAAUAUAACACGGAAAAGUGGGUGAAAUGUUAGCUUUUAGCUAAAGCUAAGCGAGGAUUCUUAUUUCUCCCACAAUGCAUUCCAUGACGUCACAUGAGGCACUCGCUGACUGUUGGACGACAGACAGCCCCGCGGCCCGCCUACCAUUUUGAGGGAGAGUGAUACGAGGAGUUUAAGUUAGCUAGCUAGUGAAGCAGUGACACUGACAGUGACAGAUUUAUAAGUAAAUAUAGAUAGAUAGAUCUUCCGAAGCUGGGUGCAGUUUGUCAAGAUUAGGCGAGCAGAUUUUUCAGCUAAGUUAACGUUAGCUCUGUCGCCGCCUACUCGAGAAUAUGCAGCGCGCAUUUCAAAGAGGAGGAUAACCACUCAGGGGAUGCCAAGAUGGUCUUACUUCACUUGGAUUAAAGAGUGAGAGGAGUGCUAAAUUACUUCCAACCGCACUGCCGUCUGUGAACGCAAACCUCUCUGCUUGCCCUGUCCCGAGGUCGAGAGACACCGUCUACCGCAAGCGAGAAAUUGCCACGGUUAUGCAACAUCAUUAAUGAAGGCCCUUCGGGAAAGCUACACCAAUUCACCUGCGGCUCUUCGAGAGGUUAGCGCCAGUUUGUCCCCAUCGCCACAUCCUUCAAACAGGUUCCUGAGGAGGCCGUCAGCCUCUACCUAGCCCGGCAGUCACGCUUCAAGAACCUAAUUUCACAUUAUUUUCUUUCCACAGACAAGUCCAAUGGUUUAGUUGUAUUUAUUUAUUUUAGUUGUUAGUUAUCUUCUUUCCUUCUGUCCCUGUCAUCUCAUUUAGUGGUGGUUUCCUGCAUUCUGCAUGUUUUGUUUUUUUCUUUGUGUGCUGUUUCUUUGGUUUUACUUUGCACAAAAUCAUUACUUUUUUUUCUUAGGCUAUUGAUUCCCGUGAUCUUGUUUAUAAAUUCCGAUUCAGCCAUUAGCCUACCUUCGUAAUCACGCAAAGCGGUCUGGAGAGGCGAUCUGUUCAGAAUUA
Non-coding RNA from Pimephales promelas (fathead minnow), 1093 nucleotides. Lineage: Eukaryota; Metazoa; Chordata; Actinopteri; Cypriniformes; Leuciscidae. The record is from RefSeq and is a predicted model, not a curated record.